AGAGUUUGAUCCUGGCUCAGAAUGAACGCUGGCGGCGUGCUUAACACAUGCAAGUCGUACGAGAACUCUUUAGCUUGCUAAAGAUAGUAAAGUGGCGUACGGGUGAGUAACGCGUGGGUAAUCUACCUUCGAAUUGGGGAUAACAUUGCGAAAGCGAUGCUAAUACCGAAUAAUAUCUUUUAAACUGCGGUUUUAAAGAUCAAAGUUGGUCUCUACAUGUAAGCUUAUGUUUGGAGAUGAGCCCGCGUACCAUUAGCUUGUUGGUAGGGUAAUGGCCUACCAAGGCUACGAUGGUUAGCUGGUCUGAGAGGAUGAUCAGCCACACUGGAACUGACACACGGUCCAGACUCCUACGGGAGGCAGCAGUGAGGAAUUUUGCGCAAUGGGGGAAACCCUGACGCAGCAACGCCGCGUGAGUGAUGAAGGCCUUCGGGUCGUAAAGCUCUGUCAAGUGGGAAGAAAAUACGUAUCAAUAAUACUGUUAUGUACUGACGGUACCACUAAAGGAAGCACCGGCUAACUCCGUGCCAGCAGCCGCGGUAAUACGGGGGGUGCAAGCGUUAUUCGGAAUCAUUGGGCGUAAAGAGCGCGUAGGCGGCCUCUUAAGUCAGAUGUGAAAGCCCGGGGCUUAACCCCGGAAGUGCAUUUGAAACUAAAGGGACUUGAGUAUGGGAGAGGGAAGUGGAAUUCCUGGUGUAGAGGUGAAAUUCGUAGAUAUCAGAGGAACACCGGUGGCGAAUGCGACUUCCUGGACCAAUACUGACGCUGAGGCGCGAAGGCGUGGUAGCAACAGGAUUAGAUACCCUGUAGUCCACGCAGUAACGUGACACUAGUGUAGCGGUAUGACCCUGCUGUGCGCAGUACGCAAUAGUGUCGCUGGGGAGUACGAACGCAGUCAACUCAAAGAUGGACGGGGGCCGCACAGCGGUGGACCAUGUGGUACUCGAGCAACUGAGACUAACUGGAUUGACCUCCCAGGAUCUCUGGGA
This 989-nucleotide ribosomal RNA is filed under the name uncultured bacterium. RNAcentral describes it as "bacterial SSU rRNA". It matches the Rfam family "Bacterial small subunit ribosomal RNA", at positions 8 to 1003 of the family's 1533-position model. The record is from RNAcentral.